RNAcentral lists this ribosomal RNA (406 nucleotides) under uncultured bacterium. RNAcentral describes it as "bacterial SSU rRNA". It matches the Rfam family "Bacterial small subunit ribosomal RNA", at positions 12 to 424 of the family's 1533-position model. The record is from RNAcentral.
UUUGAUCCUGGCUCAGGACGAACGCUGGCGGCGUGCUUAACACAUGCAAGUCGAACGGUAAGGCCCUUCGGGGUACACGAGUGGCGAACGGGUGAGUAACACGUGGGUGAUCUGCCCUGCACUUCGGGAUAAGCUUGGGAAACUGGGUCUAAUACCGGAUAGGACCACGGUCUGCAUGGAUUGUGGUGGAAAGCUUUUGCGGUGUGGGAUGGGCCCGCGGCCUAUCAGCUUGUUGGUGGGGUGAUGGCCUACCAAGGCGACGACGGGUAGCCGGCCUGAGAGGGUGUCCGGCCACACUGGGACUGAGAUACGGCCCAGACUCCUACGGGAGGCAGCAGUGGGGAAUAUUGCACAAUGGGCGCAAGCCUGAUGCAGCGACGCCGCGUGGGGGAUGACGGCCUCGGUU